This 542-nucleotide ribosomal RNA is filed under the name uncultured bacterium. RNAcentral's name for it is "bacterial SSU rRNA". It matches the Rfam family "Bacterial small subunit ribosomal RNA", at positions 771 to 1319 of the family's 1533-position model. The record is from RNAcentral.
AGCGAAUAGAUACCCAGGUAGUCCACGCCCUAAACGAUGUCAACUAGUUGUCGGGGAUUAACUUCCUUGGUAAACGCAGCUAAACGCGUGAAGUUGACCGCCUGGGGAGUACGGUCGCAAGAUUAAAACUCAAAGGAAUUGACGGGGACCCGCACAAGCGGUGGAUGAUGUGGAUUAAUUCGAUGCAACGCGAAAAACCUUACCUACCCUUGACAUGUCUGGAACCCUGCUGAGAGGUGGGGGUGCUCGAAAGAGAGCCAGAACACAGGUGCUGCAUGGCUGUCGUCAGCUCGUGUCGUGAGAUGUUGGGUUAAGUCCCGCAACGAGCGCAACCCUUGUCAUUAGUUGCUACGAAAGGGCACUCUAAUGAGACUGCCGGUGACAAACCGGAGAAGGUGGGGAUGACGUCAAGUCCUCAUGGCCCUUAUGGGUAGGGCUUCACACGUCAUACAAUGGUCGGUACAGAGGGUAGCCAACCCGCGAGGGGUAGCCAAUCCCAGAAAACCGAUCGUAGUCCGGAUUGCAGUCUGCAACUCGACCGC